GCAUCCAUUUAGGACUCAAACACUCCUCUGAGAUCAAUCACCUAAGCUUGGCCUUUCUUCUCCACUAUUUUCUCUAGAAUCAUGGACUUGAUUCAUAGUGUUUGUCAGAAAAACCAUUUCCAAGGCUCACCAGGAACCUAAAGUAAGAUAUUCAAUUUUUUUUCCUUCUCUUUUCUUACGUUAGCCCCAUCCAUCGAUUGUGAUUUGGUCAAAAUAAUGCUUGGAAGAAUC
RNAcentral lists this long non-coding RNA (231 nucleotides) under Elaeis guineensis (African oil palm). RNAcentral describes it as "long non-coding RNA (EGUI_LNC072266)". Lineage: Eukaryota; Viridiplantae; Streptophyta; Magnoliopsida; Arecales; Arecaceae. The record is from RNAcentral.